UACGUAGGGCGCAAGCGUUGUCCGGAAUUAUUGGGCGUAAAGAGCUCGUAGGCGGUCUGUUGCGUCCGCUGUGAAAACCCGGGGCUUAACCCUGGGCUGGCAGUGGAUACGGACAGACUAGAGGUAGGUAGGGGAGAAUGGAAUUCCCGGUGUAGCGGUGAAAUGCGCAGAUAUCGGGAGGAACACCGGUGGCGAAGGCGGUUCUCUGGGCCUUACCUGACGCUGAGGAGCGAAAGCGUGGGGAGCGAACAGG
RNAcentral lists this ribosomal RNA (253 nucleotides) under uncultured bacterium. RNAcentral describes it as "partial 16S ribosomal RNA". It matches the Rfam family "Bacterial small subunit ribosomal RNA", at positions 524 to 776 of the family's 1533-position model. The record is from RNAcentral.